UUUCCGUAGGUGAACCUGCGGAAGGAUCAUUAACGAGCGAGGGUCCUAGUGGCCCAACCUCCCAACCCUUUGUUUACUGAACCUAUGUUGCUUCGGUGGGCCCGUCUCUGGACCGCCGGGGGUUCGCCGCGAGGCGUCCCCUGGCCAGCGCCCGCCGGUGGCCAACCAUUAAAACUCUUGAAUGAAUCGUGUCCUCUUGUCUAAGUCAUGAUUAUUAAAUCAAAAACAAAACUUUCAACAACGGAUCUCUUGGUUCUGGCAUCGAUGAAGAACGCAGC
This 278-nucleotide unclassified non-coding RNA is filed under the name uncultured fungus. RNAcentral's name for it is "sequence contains ITS1, 5.8S rRNA gene". The stretch from base 230 to 278 matches the Rfam family "5.8S ribosomal RNA", at positions 1 to 49 of the family's 154-position model. Lineage: Eukaryota; Fungi. The record is from RNAcentral.